AAAGCUUUAGUUUAACAAAAACAUUAGUUUGUCAAACUAAAAAUAUUUUCAUAAUAAUCUUUU
Molecule: transfer RNA, 63 nt
Filed under: Dipseudopsis sp. XG-2021
Lineage: Eukaryota; Metazoa; Arthropoda; Insecta; Trichoptera; Dipseudopsidae
Description: tRNA-Asp
Source: RNAcentral